GAGACAGUGUGUAUACGUAAACACACUGUAAUAACGAGCUUUAAUCGCUGGACGAAGAAGUUUGGUACUUACAAUAAUGGUUAGACAACUAGAAAAUCUUCUAAAAGAACUAGGAUGGGCAGAUGGCUUUCGUAUUCCAGUGGCGAAUGAGGCAAAUAAGGCUCUAGAAGAACAGGUUGAGCACAGUAUAAAAAAGAAAGGUGAAUUAACUAUUCAGUUUGAGGAUCUGAGUGAUCGAGUGGAUUCCCUCUUGAAGCAUACUCAAAAUGUCAAAGUUGAGCAUCAGCAGAACCAGGAUAUACUUAUUGCACAUAAAAGACAAAUGGAGACAGAGAAAAACCUGUAUCAGACAGCAAAGGCUGAACAAGCUAGUUAUGAAUGGGAAUUACGACUUAUCAACAAGGCUUUUCAUGAGCUUGGAGAGAGACAUUUUAUACUGCAGAAUGGAAUCAUUACUCAUACUGAGAGACUGGAGAAGCUAAAAGCAAACGUGAAGUGGGACAAAGAUGUUUUGUUGUCAUGGGAGGAGAAUGUGGCAAAAGAUAAUGAACACACUCAGCUGCUGGCAAGAUAUGCUGUUGAGGAUGAAAGUAAAUCAAAGGAACUUGAAUUGACGCGUGUACGAUUAUGUGCAGAAGUGGAUGAAAGAAAUCAGCUUCUCACUAAAAUUAUUGGUGAUGUAGAAUCACUUGAGCGAGUGUUGGAUCGAACAGCAAAGAUGUUUAGGCAAGCUCACAGUGAACGUCAAGAAUUUAUUAGCCAGUGGGAAGGUUCAGUGCAAGUUCUACACCAGCGGGAUUAUGAUAUUCACAGUAGAGUGCAAGAAAUAUCCAUGUUGCGUGCUGAAGCACGGAAAAAGCUAGAAAUUCUAAGAGAGCAAGGGCAGUUUUUUAGAAAUGAAGUAAAUAAUAACAAGGAAACAGAAGCCCAGAUCUCGCUUAUUACUCGUUCUGCUAUCAGAUUGCGAGAUGAUUACAGCACCUUACUCAACACUAUUGAUGAACUUACGAGUGAACUUGGAACAAUGCAGCGCACAUUGACAGGAACUGCUUUACACCUGGAAAACCAGCGGCAAAGGAAGAAAGUGCUGGCCAAUGAUAAUGUAGCCAAACAUAAUCAUAUUAAAGAACUAGUUGAAGUGGUGCAGAGAACAAAAGAACGGUUGGCACAGGUUACUGACAGGACUAUGUCUGCAGCUGAGAGGGCACAACAUUUGGAAGAGAUGAUAAAGUGUGAGGAGAAGACGAUAGAUAUCUUACUCCAGGACACGAGGAAACUCAGUGACAAACUGUUUAAAACCCAACAAGAAUUAUCUGAUCUUAAAAAGCAAGAGGAACAGCAUCAUAUUGAAAUCCGUGGACUGGAAUCAGAAAAAUCUGUGGUUUUGUCUCAUAUUCAGAGAACACAGAAAGAGCUUCAAUACCAGAGGGAGAUUAUCUACAACAAGGAAUUUGAAGCCCAAAUGAUUGAGUCUCGCAUUGGUCACCUCACAGGUACUGGUCAAGAUGCUGAAGAAAAAGAAGCCAAUGAGAAGAAGAUUGCAGAGCUGGAAGAGGUUCUCAAUGAAAAAAUGGCAACUUUCGACCUACUUACAGCCCAGAACCAAAGAUUAGAGAAUAGGAUGCAGAGGUUGACCAAGGCCCUCAGUGCAGGUUCAGCAGAGCUAGAAAAGCUGGUAGAUAAACGCCAGGAUAAAAUCCUGCUAACAGAUGGUGGACAGAAACAGCUGAAGCUCAACAAGGUUCACAAUCAAGAGAAGCAGGUGGAGGAGAAUAUUCUUCUUCUCAGGGUGGCUCAGGCUGAAAGAGCAAUAGCCCAAGAAGGGAAUAAAGUACACACACUGGAGAAGCAGAAGCUUGAAUUGGAUGCUGCUAUGAAGGAGCGGAAAGUGGAGAUUGGUGUGCACAAAGAUGUCCUCUUCAUUCAGAAACGAAACUUGAGUGAAGAGAAAUCUCACUUAAUAGCUGACAUCAAAGCAUGUGAAUUGAAAAUCAGCCAGCUGCAGAAGAAAUAUGAUAUUGUUAUGAGUUCACUUGGGCAAGCUGAAGAUGGAGAACAACUUUCAGUCACAUAUUUCAAAAUAAAGAGUGCACAAGAGAAAUAUGAGCUUCAACAGCAAGGUGAUGAAUUGGAUGCAAAAAUAAGGAGAACUGAAAAAGAAAUUCAAGCUAUGGAAAAUACGCUGAAGGUUAUAAAUUCAACAAAUGAGAAAUAUAAAAGGAGCUUGUCAACUGUAGAUGAAGAUAGUGAUGAGUAUAAAAAGAAAGAGGAGUUGGAAUCUCUUUAUUAUGUUGCUGUCAAUACAUGGAGACAACAGACAUCACAGCUGAAUGAACUCAGCAGUCAGACUGAGAUACUGGAACAAGCUUUAAAGGAUAUAUUCAUAACAGAAGGUAAUCUCCGUGCUGUAUGGCAAAACAAAGAUCAAGAUUCAAGUGACUUGGAGAAGGAUUUGCAAGAACAAAUUUCUAAACUUCAACGUGCAGAAAAACAGCUACACAAAGCUCUAAGAGAAUUAAGAGGAGUGAGCCAGACAAAGCCCAUGGCACUGGAGAAGAAAGAUAUCGAGGUGCGUGAGUUGCAAGAACAGAACCAAAGUGCUCUUCAGCAGUUGGCUGAAUUUGUAGCUCGUCACAUAGAGGCAGGGCCAGUAGUGACACGCUAUCUGGAGGAGAAGUGUCUGGUUCUUCCCAUGUCUCAUAGUCCUGGAGGAUCUCUCAGCUGUAUUUCAUCACGAGAUUUUCUCAGACACUCACCUGUAAAGAGAUCACCAUCACUGAGCAAACAUGCACUUCCAGGACCAGGUUCACCAUCAUCUAUUCAGUUGUGUGCCACUUGUUCUUCCCAAGAUUUGGCCAGUAAUCAUGAAUCAUCUAGAUCCAGUAAGAGCUCAACUUCUGCUAGCGUCAUAACACUGGAUGCAGCUCUCUUGGAUGGUGAUUGUCUUUAACAUGUUGAAUGACCUAGGAGAAUGAUUUCCUUACUGUGUUACUCACGGAAUUCUAAUGUUCUCUGAAAACUACUUUUCUUUACUGUUACUGGUCUACAUAUACUCUAGUGUAUGUAAAAAUGCCUGUUCUUCACUUGUGAUGUGGUUGCAUUCCUUCUCAGUGUCACAAUAUGUAGCAUCUCAAACAUUAAAGAAGAAAUAACACUCAAGUUGAAAAAUUCUUGGAUAUAACAUUGUGUAGUCCAGUACAAGUUCAUCAGUGUUUCUGAGGAACACACUGCCUCUAUCUUCGGGGUAUAAUCAUAAGGCAAGCAAGUUGCCAGCAACAAACAAAACAAAAACAUAGUCCUGUUCAUAGUCACCACUGUGAGAACCUUAAACCCAGCAUAAGAAAUUAAAGUUUAUUCAUGUAACUAGGGAAAGAAAAGAUUAGAAGUAAUUAUUUAAAGCACAUCCAAGAAACUCUACAGCAAUACAUACACAUUAAUUUAAUAACUAUGGCUGGCAUAUAUGUAUAUUGAUAAGAGUAAGCAGUAAAAUUUGUAAUAUCUUGUCUUUGGAGACAAUAAAAGUGAGUUCUAAGGAAUAAAGAAAGUAAAUUAGUGAUAGGAACCUGGAAUGUUAAGACUUUACUGAAAUCUAGGAAAAUGUCAGAUGUAAAGGAAGAGCUGAGGGAUUUAGGAAUUUAUAACUGGAUAACUCGCACACGGGAGUAGUUCGAAGGAAAUUGUUGAGCAGGCCAAAGCAUUCAAGAAGUGAAGCUGUCAAGCCUUAUGAAGAAGAAGAAGAAGAAGAAGAAGAAGAAGAAGGAGGAGGAGGAGGAGGAGGAGGCUAUGGACUUUACAGUUGGGCUUCAAUUCCCUCCAGGGAUAGAAAUUUUCUCGUGUCAUCACAUCCAAACUGGCUCUAGAGCUCACCUGGCCUUGAAUCCGUUGGGUACUAAGAGUUCUUUCCUUUGGGGUGUUGACGCUGCAGCAUCAGCAAAAGCUGUCUGUGGCCCUGCAUCGUGUUUGAAACACAAGCCAAAAAAGGAAU
RNA transcript from Cryptotermes secundus, 3985 nucleotides. It is a transcript of the gene named coiled-coil domain-containing protein 39, with no coding region annotated. Lineage: Eukaryota; Metazoa; Arthropoda; Insecta; Blattodea; Kalotermitidae. The record is from RefSeq and is a predicted model, not a curated record. The transcript is spliced from 17 exons.